Thunnus maccoyii (southern bluefin tuna) is the source of this 251-nucleotide long non-coding RNA. RefSeq lists it as uncharacterized. The transcript is spliced from 3 exons. The record is from RefSeq and is a predicted model, not a curated record. Lineage: Eukaryota; Metazoa; Chordata; Actinopteri; Scombriformes; Scombridae.
CUCGGCACCAGCUCUGUGCCCAGGAUCGGCCAACUUUUCUGGGCCGCCAGAUAUCCCGCUUUCCUCUGGUGCUCCUGAGCUAUUGGAUGGAUUGCUCUGAAAAACAGAUAUUCAUGGUUCCCAGAGGAUACAUCUUAAUGACAAUGACUUUUCCUCUAUCACCACAACGCCACCUUGAAGUUGACAGUUAUGGUUUUCAGGCAACUAAUGGACAGAUUUCUGUGAAAUUUUCUACAGAUAAUCAAGAUCAC